GAUGAAGAACGUAGCGAAAUGCGAUAAGUAAUGUGAAUUGCAGAAUUCAGUGAAUCAUCGAAUCUUUGAACGCACAUUGCGCCCUCUGGUAUUCCGGGGGGCAUGCCUGUUCGAGCGUCAUUAUAACCACUCAAGCUCUCGCUUGGUAUUGGGGCUCGCGGUUCCGCGGCCUCUAAAAUCAGUGGCGGUGCCUGUCGGCUCUACGCGUAGUAAUACUCCUAGCGAUUGAGUCCGGUAGGUCUACUUGCCAGCAACCCCCAAUUUUUACAGGUUGACCUCGGAUCAGGUAGGGAUACCCGCUGAACUUAAGCAUAUCAAUAAGCGGAGGA
RNAcentral lists this unclassified non-coding RNA (329 nucleotides) under soil metagenome. RNAcentral describes it as "partial contains 5.8S ribosomal RNA, internal transcribed spacer 2, and large subunit ribosomal RNA". The stretch from base 1 to 120 matches the Rfam family "5.8S ribosomal RNA", at positions 35 to 154 of the family's 154-position model. The record is from RNAcentral.